RNAcentral lists this small RNA (87 nucleotides) under Bacillus subtilis. Its description in RNAcentral is "BsrC". It matches the Rfam family "BsrC". Rfam says of the family: The 301 nucleotide sequence from Kouji Nakamura has been trimmed to a highly conserved ~85 nucleotide long core to form this family. The record is from RNAcentral. Lineage: Bacteria; Bacillati; Bacillota; Bacilli; Caryophanales; Bacillaceae.
GAUACCUAAAACAAUGAAAGCCCUACCUCUCUUCCAUCCUUACGGCUCCUUGUCCGUGCCAGUGUGAAUCAGGAUACUAAAAAAGUG